GUGUUAGGGUAUAUAUAUUAACAUAUUGUACUAAUAAAAUUAUAUUUUUAUUAAUAUUAAAUACAUCAAAUAAAUUUAUAUAAUAUUAAAUUUUUAUAAUUAAUUUUCCUUGUACUAUAACAUAUUUUAUAGAUAUAGUAAUAUUUAUAUUCAUUUAUAUUUAUAUAAUUUUAAUAAUUAUAUAUUUUAUUAUAAUUUGUUUGGAAAGUUAUUAUAUUAUUAUAGGUGCGUGUAAAUUAUCAAAGUUUGAUUCUUGCUUUCUAUAUACUUUAGUAAUAAAGAACAUAUUUAAAUUUUUGUAGGACAAAAGACUAUUUGUUUAAAUAUCUAAUAGUGUGAAAGAUUUAAAAUAAUAAAUAAAGUCGAAGUGUGAGAUAUUAAUAUUUAUGAUUGAAAAAUUGAAUUAGUAAUUAUUUUUAGCUCUGACUAAAAAUUUGUGCCAGCAGUCGCGGUUAUACUUAGGGAGUGAGUAUAUAAGUGUUGAUUAUUAGUUAAGUUAGUAUAUUAAAAAUUAUCUUAUCUGAGUUAAUAAAAGGUGAAAUUAGUUUAUUAAAUAUUAGUUUAAGAAAGUUUUUAUUAUAUGCUGAGGCUAUUUAAUUUAUGGGAUAAACUAGGAUUAGAUACCCUAUUAUACAUAAGUUUAAUAAUAAAAUAUCAGAUUAUUUUUAGUUAUGUUCUUAAAAAUCAAAGAACUUGGCGGUACUUUAGUCUUGUUAGAGGAACCUGUUUUAUAAGUGAUAAUCCACGUAGUAUCUUGCUUAAUCUUGUUUUGUCAGUAUGUAUACCGUCAUUAUUAGAUAAUUCUUAUAGGAAUGAAUUAUUAAAAUAAUUUAAAUAAUUAAGAUAUUAGAUCAAGGUGCAGCUAAUGGUUAAGUAAAAAUGGGUUACAAUAAUUUAUAAUUAUAUGGAUUAAUUGUUGAAUAAUAAUUAUGAAGGUGGAUUUAAUUGUAAUUUUUAUUUGAAUAAGGAGAAAUGAUAAUAGCUCUAGAUUAUGUACAUAUCGCCCGUCGCUUUCACUACAAGGUGAAAUAAGUCGUAACAUAGUAGGUGUACUGGAAAGUGUACCUAGA
This 1070-nucleotide non-coding RNA is filed under the name Upogebia major. Lineage: Eukaryota; Metazoa; Arthropoda; Malacostraca; Decapoda; Upogebiidae. The record is from RNAcentral.